This 460-nucleotide ribosomal RNA is filed under the name uncultured bacterium. Its description in RNAcentral is "partial 16S ribosomal RNA". It matches the Rfam family "Bacterial small subunit ribosomal RNA", at positions 338 to 795 of the family's 1533-position model. The record is from RNAcentral.
CCUACGGGUGGCAGCAGUGAGGAAUAUUGGUCAAUGGACGAGAGUCUGAACCAGCCAAGUAGCGUGAAGGAUGACUGCCCUAUGGGUUGUAAACUUCUUUUAUAUGGGAAUAAAAUGUUCCACGUGUGGGAUUUUGUAUGUACCAUAUGAAUAAGGAUCGGCUAACUCCGUGCCAGCAGCCGCGGUAAUACUGAGGAUCCGAGCGUUAUCCGGAUUUAUUGGGUUUAAAGGGAUCGUAGGUGGAUUGUUAAGUCAGUUGUGAAAGUUUGCGGCUCAACCGUAAAAUUGCAGUUGAAACUGGCAGUCUUGAGUACAGUAGAGGUGGGCGGAAUUCGUGGUGUAGCGGUGAAAUGCUUAGAUAUCACGAAGAACUCCGAUUGCGAAGGCAGUUCACUGGACUGCAACUGACACUGAGGCUCGAAAGUGUGGGUAUCAAACAGGAUUAGAUACCCUUGUAGUC